Molecule: ribosomal RNA, 497 nt
Filed under: uncultured bacterium
Lineage: Bacteria
Description: partial 16S ribosomal RNA
Rfam family: Bacterial small subunit ribosomal RNA
Source: RNAcentral
GAUGAACGCUGGCGGCGUGCCUAAUACAUGCAAGUCGAGCGAACAGACGAGGAGCUUGCUCCUCUGACGUUAGCGGCGGACGGGUGAGUAACACGUGGAUAACCUACCUAUAAGACUGGGAUAACUUCGGGAAACCGGAGCUAAUACCGGAUAAUAUAUUGAACCGCAUGGUUCAAUAGUGAAAGACGGUUUUGCUGUCACCUAUAGAUGGAUCCGCGCCGCAUUAGCUAGUUGGUAAGGUAACGGCUUACCAAGGCAACGAUGCGUAGCCGACCUGAGAGGGUGAUCGGCCACACUGGAACUGAGACACGGUCCAGACUCCUACGGGAGGCAGCAGUAGGGAAUCUUCCGCAAUGGGCGAAAGCCUGACGGAGCAACGCCGCGUGAGUGAUGAAGGUCUUCGGAUCGUAAAACUCUGUUAUUAGGGAAGAACAAAUGUGUAAGUAACCAUGCACGUCUUGACGGUACCUAAUCAGAAAGCCACGGCUAACUACGUG